This 397-nucleotide ribosomal RNA is filed under the name uncultured bacterium. RNAcentral's name for it is "partial 16S ribosomal RNA". It matches the Rfam family "Bacterial small subunit ribosomal RNA", at positions 523 to 918 of the family's 1533-position model. The record is from RNAcentral.
AUACGUAGGGGGCGAGCGUUGUCCGGAAUUACUGGGUGUAAAGGGCGUGUAGGCGGGGAUACAAGUUACCGGUAAAAACCCGAGGCUCAACCACGGGCUUGCCGAUAAAACUGUAUCUCUUGAGUAUAGGAGAGGGAAGUGGAAUUUCCGGAGUAGCGGUGAAAUGCGUAGAUACCGGGAAGAACACCAGUGGCGAAGGCGGUUUCCUGGCCAGUCACGUACGCUGAGGCGCGAAAGCUAGGGUAGCGAACGGGAUUAGAUACCCCGGUAGUCCUAGCCGUAAACGAUGGUCACUAGGUGUGGGUGGUGGUCAAGCCAUCCGUGCCGGAGCUAACGCAAUAAGUGACCCACCUGGGGAGUACGUCCGCAAGGUUGAAACUCAAAUGAAUUGACGGGG